UACGUAGGUGGCAAGCGUUGUCCGGAAUUACUGGGCGUAAAGCGUGCGCAGGCGGUUUUGUAAGUCUGACGUGAAAUCCCCGGGCUCAACCUGGGAAUUGCGUUGGAGACUGCAAGGCUAGAAUCUGGCAGAGGGGGGUAGAAUUCCACGUGUAGCAGUGAAAUGCGUAGAGAUGUGGAGGAACACCGAUGGCGAAGGCAGCCCCCUGGGUCAAGAUUGACGCUCAUGCACGAAAGCGUGGGGAGCAAACAGG
This 253-nucleotide ribosomal RNA is filed under the name uncultured bacterium. RNAcentral describes it as "partial 16S ribosomal RNA". It matches the Rfam family "Bacterial small subunit ribosomal RNA", at positions 524 to 776 of the family's 1533-position model. The record is from RNAcentral.